Molecule: small nucleolar RNA, 128 nt
Filed under: Myotis brandtii (Brandt's bat)
Lineage: Eukaryota; Metazoa; Chordata; Mammalia; Chiroptera; Vespertilionidae
Source: RNAcentral
UCUUAGGGAGUCUUGUAACCAAUAAAGAAAAGUUGAAAUCGUUGGAAACACCUCAUAGAGUAAAUAUGUUGCUUCCUUUAUUCACAGAACUGUGUGUUAGAUCUGUGGAAAGGAAUUACAAGACAGCU